CUUCUCUCACAAAUCUCAACUCUCUCUCUCUCUCUCUCUCUCUCUCCGUUUCUACCAUUCCGCCGCCUAGUUAGAACAAUAGCGUCGAAUCAUCGAGCUACAUGUCACGGAUCAUCAACGUUCCUUUACCCCAUUGCCUCAGAUUUGCUCCGAUCUGCCCCCUUCGCCUCAGAUCUGCUCCGAUCUCCUCUGUUGUUUGAUCGCGUUGUUCAUUUUUCUCAUCGAGCUACUGUUUCAGAGGAUGAAACCCUAGGUGAAGCUGCAAUCCAAGCGUUAACAGGAAAGACUGACAAAGACGUGCCAAUGAAAAAUGAUAAUUAAUAUUACCAAAAUUGUGAUGCUCAUAGUGCUUGUUAUUGUUGUGGGAAUUUUCGGGAUGGGGGAAACCCAAUCCCUGUUAAGAAGCGAGGACAUGGACGGUGAUGGGUUUUUCCGUCGGAGAUCAAGGUCAGCGACAGAGAAAUUUUCACCAUCGAGGAUUGGGGACAGGAAGUGUGAUCCCCAACCCCACCCCGGCCCAUUGCCAUCCCUAAUUGUCAUCGUUGCAUUUUUCAUCGAAUUCCCCUUCCCCAUUACCAUGCCACGCCAAACCCAUCCUCGAGAGAAAAAAAAUUAUUCUGUCUCUUUAAUUUAGAAAAAACAAAACAAUGCUACAACAGUUCCAGCAAUCAAAUAAAACCAUAUCUUGCUUCACAUUCAUUUA
Camellia sinensis is the source of this 703-nucleotide non-coding RNA. NCBI's taxonomy places the organism in Eukaryota, Viridiplantae, Streptophyta, Magnoliopsida, Ericales, Theaceae. The record is from RefSeq and is a predicted model, not a curated record.